This 251-nucleotide unclassified non-coding RNA is filed under the name uncultured Pleosporales. Its description in RNAcentral is "sequence contains 5.8S rRNA gene". The stretch from base 1 to 53 matches the Rfam family "5.8S ribosomal RNA", at positions 102 to 154 of the family's 154-position model. The record is from RNAcentral. Lineage: Eukaryota; Fungi; Ascomycota; Dothideomycetes; Pleosporales.
GAACGCACAUUGCGCCCCUUGGUAUUCCAUGGGGCAUGCCUGUUCGAGCGUCAUUUACACCCUCAAGCUCUGCUUGGUGUUGGGCGUCUGUCCCGCUUCGUGCGCGGACUCGCCCUAAAGGUAUUGGCAGCGGUCAUGCCAGCUUCUCGCGCAGCACAUUGCGCUUCUCGAGGCACCGGCGGAUCAGCGUCCAUCAAGCUCACUUCCACAGUUUGACCUCGGAUCAGGUAGGGAUACCCGCUGAACUUAAG